AGUGAACGCUGGCGGCAGGCCUAACACAUGCAAGUCGAGCGGAUGAAGGGAGCUUGCUCCUGGAUUCAGCGGCGGACGGGUGAGUAAUGCCUAGGAAUCUGCCUGUUAGUGUUGGAUAACGUCCGGAAACGGGCGCUAAUACCGCAUACGUCCUUAGGGAGAAAGUGGGGGAUCUUCGGACCUCACGCUAUCAGAUGAGCCUAGGUCGGAUUAGCUAGUUGGUGGGGUAAAGGCCUACCAAGGCGACGAUCCGUAACUGGUCUGAGAGGAUGAUCAGUCACACUGGAACUGAGACACGGUCCAGACUCCUACGGGAGGCAGCAGUGGGGAAUAUUGGACAAUGGGCGAAAGCCUGAUCCAGCCAUGCCGCGUGUGUGAAGAAGGUCUUCGGAUUGUAAAGCACUUUAAGUUGGGAGGAAGGGCAGUAAGUUAAUACCUUGCUGUUUUGACGUUACCAACAGAAUAAGCACCGGCUAACUUCGUG
RNAcentral lists this ribosomal RNA (484 nucleotides) under uncultured bacterium. RNAcentral's name for it is "partial 16S ribosomal RNA". It matches the Rfam family "Bacterial small subunit ribosomal RNA", at positions 29 to 507 of the family's 1533-position model. The record is from RNAcentral.